Molecule: long non-coding RNA, 388 nt
Filed under: Ananas comosus (pineapple)
Lineage: Eukaryota; Viridiplantae; Streptophyta; Magnoliopsida; Poales; Bromeliaceae
Description: long non-coding RNA (ACOM_LNC036206)
Source: RNAcentral
UGAUCUCUAUAUCAUGAGCUCGUGCGAAUGAUGCUAAUAUGCAUGAAUGAGAUGCACCCGUAUCAAAUAUGGCUCUAGCCCUAGUGCCUCUGAUUAAAAUAAUACCUGCCACGACGUCGUCAGGAACGAUGAUUGGCGGCUCCUCCACCUGAGUGGCAAAAACCCGCCCACUAGGUGCUCGAGAAGCCUCCGGCUGACAUGGCGCCGACGAUCGUCCAGCAGACGUUGCGGGUGGCAGUCCCGCCAGCUGUCGCUGCGUGUACUGUACUGAGGCUGAUGACGGGGCUGGGGACGCGCCGCCCGGGCACUCUCGACUCAUGUGCCCCGGUUGGCCACAUUGAUAACACCGCCCCUCCCGCUGUGGGCAGCUGGUGGCCCUAUGCUCCCC